RNAcentral lists this ribosomal RNA (456 nucleotides) under Triticum aestivum (bread wheat). RNAcentral's name for it is "partial small subunit ribosomal RNA". The record is from RNAcentral. Lineage: Eukaryota; Viridiplantae; Streptophyta; Magnoliopsida; Poales; Poaceae.
GCAGCCGCAACGAGAGGAGGGCCAAGGACAUGGCUAGCUUCACCUGUUGGGUUUGCGAAAAUCAAUGUUGAUGGAGCUGUUGCGCGCCAUAAACGUGGUGGGGCAGUUUCUGCGGUGUGUCGAGACCACACAGGUUUAUACUUGGGCUCUUCGGCGGUAGUCUACCGAGACAUUACUAAUCCCACAACCCUGGAAACGUUUGCGUGCAGGGAGGCGUUAGCUCUUGCAGAGGAUCUUCAGGUGACAAACAUGAUGGUUGCCUCGGAUUGCAAAGAUGAAAUAAUGCAACGGAGAAGCACUUUCGACUCGGUUUCUUUUGUUUUUGAGCGUAGAAAUCACAACUUCGAGGCUCACAAUCUCGCCAAGUUCACUUGUAAUUUAGGGGUAGGUCGGCAUGUUUGGCUGGGAGUCUCCCAUGAAAAGCAUCGCGUACCUAUGAACAUUACUAUUAUCUAA